AACUCAAACAGUCCUGUGACUCCUCACAAAGACUACCCUGGCCAAGGUUUUGCUAAAUUAAAAUACGACUGUACACAGCUCCUAAACUGGAGUGGUCAAUCCCAUCUUGACACACGCACCGACAAGUCAAGUACUUGACUACACCCAGCAGCCUUCCAUCACUGAAUUAGAAAUUCAGGUAGUCCAGUGCCUAAGUGCAGUGAGUUGCUUGCAAGUCACCAUGGCGGUCUCAGGUCGGAGGGAUAUUUAUAUCCAUAUU
RNAcentral lists this long non-coding RNA (259 nucleotides) under Elaeis guineensis (African oil palm). RNAcentral describes it as "long non-coding RNA (EGUI_LNC079423)". The record is from RNAcentral. Lineage: Eukaryota; Viridiplantae; Streptophyta; Magnoliopsida; Arecales; Arecaceae.